This 581-nucleotide ribosomal RNA is filed under the name Chelisoches sp. AMEBU13954. Its description in RNAcentral is "bacterial SSU rRNA". It matches the Rfam family "Eukaryotic small subunit ribosomal RNA", at positions 92 to 932 of the family's 1831-position model. The record is from RNAcentral. Lineage: Eukaryota; Metazoa; Arthropoda; Insecta; Dermaptera; Chelisochidae.
AAUGGCUCAUUAAAUCAGUUAUGGUUCAUUAGAUGAUACAUUAUUUUACUUGGAUAACUGUGGUAAUUCUAGAGCUAAUACAUGCAAAUAGAGUUCCCAUCGGUGACGGUAGGAACGCUUUUAUUAGAUCAAAACCAAUACGUUUGUUUCGGCAAACGAUUUCAAUGGUGAUUCUGAAUAACUUUUUGAUGAUCGUACGGUCCUAGUAUCGACGACAAAUCUUUCAAAUGUCUGCCUUAUCAACUGUCGAUGGUAGGCUCUGCGCCUACCAUGGUUGUAACGGGUAACGGGGAAUCAGGGUUCGAUUCCGGAGAGGGAGCCUGAGACCGGACGUGAGUGUGGCAUUCUCUAUUCACCCAUCGCGGUGCUCUUUACUGAGUGUCGUGGCGGGCCGGCACGUUUACUUUGAACAAAUUAGAGUGCUAAAAGCAGGCCUCGUGCCUGAAUAUUGUGUGCAUGGAAUAAUAGAAUAGGACCUCGGUUCUAUUUUGUUGGUUUUCUGGACCAGAGGUAAUGAUUAAGAGGAACGGACGGGGGCAUUCGUAUUGAGACGUUAGAGGUGAAAUUCUUGGAUCGUCUCA